RNAcentral lists this long non-coding RNA (510 nucleotides) under Elaeis guineensis (African oil palm). RNAcentral describes it as "long non-coding RNA (EGUI_LNC059492)". Lineage: Eukaryota; Viridiplantae; Streptophyta; Magnoliopsida; Arecales; Arecaceae. The record is from RNAcentral.
AGGCUAUUCAAAGACUCAUAUCAUAUAUAAAAUAAAUAAAAAAUAUAAGAUAAAAAAAUUAAAUCUUUUAUUGCAUAAUAAGAAGAAAAUAUAAAAGAUGGAGAAAUAAAAAUACUGUCAUUACAAAUAGUCCAGUGUUUCCUAAGAUGUGACAUCUAGCCGACCAUCGAAAGAUUCUUCAUCAUGAUCUACAUCCUAGACAUUAGAGAUUCCUUUUUUAAGACUUGGAGAAGACCUUCAGGAGCAUGAGGAAGAGAUUUGAUGGAGAAUAGACUAAGAAAAGUGGGUUUGGAAGAGGUUGGAAGGUGGAAGAGGAUUGCUGAAAUUCUUAGGCUGCAAUCUGCAGGGCUGGAAAGAGAGAAAGAUUUAGAAGAUUUUUUUGGAGGCUUUUGGAUGUGAAUUUUUAUGGCUUGUAGAGAAUUGAUGGAGGCUUGGGAUGAUAAAGUUUGAGGAAAAAUAUUUGUACGUAUGGCCAGCUAAAAGUUUGGGAAGACAGAGUUGGCGUGAAGA